CCUACGGGAGGCAGCAGUGGGGGAUAUUGCACAAUGGGGGGAACCCUGAUGCAGCGACGCCGCGUGGGUGAAGAAGCGCCUCGGCGCGUAAAGCCCUGUCAGCAGGGAAGAAAAUGACGGUACCUGAAGAAGAAGCACCGGCUAACUACGUGCCAGCAGCCGCGGGAAUACGUAGGGGGCAAGCGUUAUCCGGAUUUACUGGGUGUAAAGGGGGCGCAGAUGGCGAUGCAAGCCAGGAGUGAAAGCCCGGGGCCCAACCCCGGGACUGCUCGUGGAACUGCGUGGCUGGAGUGCAGGAGGGGCGGGUGGAAUUCCUGGUGUAGCGGUGAAAUGCGUAGAUAUCAGGAGGAACACCGGUGGCGAAGGCGGCCUGCUGGACUGCAACUGACGUUGAGGCCCGAAAGCGUGGGGAGCAAACAGGAUUAGAUACCCGAGUAGUC
RNAcentral lists this ribosomal RNA (440 nucleotides) under uncultured bacterium. RNAcentral's name for it is "partial 16S ribosomal RNA". It matches the Rfam family "Bacterial small subunit ribosomal RNA", at positions 338 to 795 of the family's 1533-position model. The record is from RNAcentral.